This 569-nucleotide long non-coding RNA is filed under the name Gossypium barbadense (sea-island cotton). RNAcentral's name for it is "long non-coding RNA (GBAR_LNC021367)". The record is from RNAcentral. Lineage: Eukaryota; Viridiplantae; Streptophyta; Magnoliopsida; Malvales; Malvaceae.
AUCUGUACAAGAUGAUCAACAGCAACAAUGGGGAUUUUGUUACAUAUGCUAUGAUGGACCUCUAACAGCCUGCUUGAGAGCGUGACACUUUCACGCGAACGGAUUCCUCUUGUUACUCGAUGAUAACUGGGUGAACUCUAUGCCGUAUAAAGGCAAAAUAAUGUAACCGUGAAGAUGUUUCUGAGAAGUUCCUUUGCUUCUUUUCUGGCUUCGGCUAACAUAGAGUUCACCUGGCUAUCAUCGGGUAACAAUGGAGGUUGUUUAACUUUUUAAACAAUGGGUCAAUUCGUGUGGUUCAAAUGUCACUCUCUCAUGCUGUUUAAGGUACUUUAUAGGUUGAUCUAAUCUCAAAGACAUUAAUCAAGAAUUUCAAGGGUGAGUUAAAGGGCACUUCUUUAGCAGAAGCUGGGACAAAGCAGAGAUUGCUUUAAAACACCCGAGUUCGAACAAUUCGAUCAAUAAUAGAAGAUAAUGUUUACAAAUAUAAUUAUUAGAUUUGAUUUUAUGAUCUAAAUCUCACAAUUUAACUUUCUAACCUAGUUUAUGCUGGUACUUUAUGCAAAUCAGGG